Molecule: ribosomal RNA, 773 nt
Filed under: uncultured bacterium
Lineage: Bacteria
Description: bacterial SSU rRNA
Rfam family: Bacterial small subunit ribosomal RNA
Source: RNAcentral
AGAGUUUGAUCCUGGCUCAGGACGAACGCUGGCGGCGUGCUUAACACAUGCAAGUCGAGCGGAAAGGCCCCUUCGGGGGUACUCGAGCGGCGAACGGGUGAGUAACACGUGGGCAACCUGCCCUCAGCUCUGGGAUAACUCCGGGAAACCGGGGCUAAUACCGGAUAUGACCUCGGGAGACAUCUCCUGAGGUGUAAAGAUUCAUCGGCUGAGGAUGGGCCCGCGGCCUAUCAGCUUGUUGGUGGGGUAACGGCCUACCAAGGCGACGACGGGUAGCCGGCCUGAGAGGGCGACCGGCCACACUGGGACUGAGACACGGCCCAGACUCCUACGGGAGGCAGCAGUGGGGAAUAUUGCGCAAUGGGCGAAAGCCUGACGCAGCGACGCCGCGUGAGGGACGACGGCCUUCGGGUUGUAAACCUCUUUCAGCAGGGACGAAGCGCAAGUGACGGUACCUGCAGAAGAAGCACCGGCCAACUACGUGCCAGCAGCCGCGGUAAUACGUAGGGUGCAAGCGUUGUCCGGAAUUAUUGGGCGUAAAGAGCUCGUAGGCGGUCUGUCGCGUCGGCUGUGAAAACUCGGGGCUCAACCCCGAGCCUGCAGCCGAUACGGGCAGACUAGAGUUCGGUAGGGGAGACUGGAAUUCCUGGUGUAGCGGUGAAAUGCGCAGAUAUCAGGAGGAACACCGGUGGCGAAGGCGGGUCUCUGGGCCGAUACUGACGCUGAGGAGCGAAAGCGUGGGGAGCGAACAGGAUUAGAUACCCUAGUAGUCC